RNAcentral lists this ribosomal RNA (253 nucleotides) under uncultured bacterium. RNAcentral describes it as "partial 16S ribosomal RNA". It matches the Rfam family "Bacterial small subunit ribosomal RNA", at positions 524 to 776 of the family's 1533-position model. The record is from RNAcentral.
UACGAAGGGUGCAAACGUUGCUCGGAAUUAUUGGGCGUAAAGCGCACGUAGGCGGCUUUGCAAGUCCCAUGUGAAAUCCCACGGCUCAACCGUGGAAGUGCAUGGGAAACUGCAGAGCUUGAGUACUUAAGAGGAUCGCGGAAUUCCCGGUGUAGAGGUGAAAUUCGUAGAUAUCGGGAGGAACACCGGUGGCGAAGGCGGCGACCUGGGUAGAUACUGACGCUGAGGUGCGAAAGCGUGGGGAGCAAACAGG